GUGUUACUUCGGUAGCACAUAUACUAAAAUUGGAACGAUACAGAGAAGAUUAGCAUGGCCCCUGCGCAAUGCUUGGCAACGGUUCGGAUAGUUUUUU
Betta splendens (Siamese fighting fish) is the source of this 97-nucleotide small nuclear RNA. The record is from Ensembl. NCBI's taxonomy places the organism in Eukaryota, Metazoa, Chordata, Actinopteri, Anabantiformes, Osphronemidae.